AACCUGCGGAAGGAUCAUUACCGAAUUGUUGACCGAGUUGUUGCUGGUCCUCUGUGGGGGCAUGUGCACUCUCUGUUUACACAUCCACUCACACCUGUGCACCCUUCAUAGUUCUGUGGUUCAGGAAGCUCUGUCCCCUGUGCCAUGGCUCUGUGCCUUUACAACUAUACGCUGUAAUGAAGUCUCAUGGAAUGUAUCCUGCGUUUAACGCAAUACAAUACAACUUUCAGCAACGGAUCUCUUGGCUCUCGCAUCGAUGAAGAACGCAGCGAAAUGCGAUAAGUAAUGUGAAUUGCAGAAUUCAGUGAAUCAUCGAAUCUUUGAACGCACCUUGCCCCCUUUGGCUAUUCCGAAGGGCAUGCCUGUUUGAGUAUCAUGAACAUCUCAACUCUCAUGGUCCUGCCAUGAUGAGCUUGGAUUUUGGGGGCUUUGCUGGCUUGUGUCAGCUCCUCUCAAAUGAAUCAGCUUGCCAGUGUUUGGUGGCGUCACAAGUGUGAUAACUAUCUACGCUUGUGGUUUUUCACCAGAUAACCUUCAGCGAUGGAGGUUCGCUGGGGCUCAUAAAUGUCUUUCCCCAGUGAGGACAACUCUUUGAACAUUUGAUCUCAAAUCAGGUAGGACUAAC
RNAcentral lists this ribosomal RNA (625 nucleotides) under uncultured Thelephoraceae. RNAcentral describes it as "eukaryotic LSU rRNA". The stretch from base 222 to 376 matches the Rfam family "5.8S ribosomal RNA". The record is from RNAcentral. Lineage: Eukaryota; Fungi; Basidiomycota; Agaricomycetes; Thelephorales; Thelephoraceae.